GACGAACGCUGGCGGCGUGCUUAACACAUGCAAGUCGAACGGAAAGGCCCUGCUUGCAGGGUACUCGAGUGGCGAACGGGUGAGUAACACGUGGGUGAUCUGCCCUGCACUUCGGGAUAAGCCUGGGAAACUGGGUCUAAUACCGGAUAGGAGCCAUUUUUAGUGUGAUGGUUGGAAAGUUUUUUCGGUGUAGGAUGAGCUCGCGGCCUAUCAGCUUGUUGGUGGGGUAAUGGCCUACCAAGGCGGCGACGGGUAGCCGGCCUGAGAGGGUGGACGGCCACAUUGGGACUGAGAUACGGCCCAGACGCCUACGGGAGGCAGCAGUGGGGAAUAUUGCACAAUGGGCGCAAGCCUGAUGCAGCGACGCCGCGUGGGGGAGGACGGCCUUCGGGUUGGAAACUCCUUUCGCUAGGGACGAAGCUUUUUGUGACGGUACCUAGAUAAGAAGCACCGGCUAACUACGUG
Molecule: ribosomal RNA, 465 nt
Filed under: uncultured bacterium
Lineage: Bacteria
Description: partial 16S ribosomal RNA
Rfam family: Bacterial small subunit ribosomal RNA
Source: RNAcentral